RNAcentral lists this ribosomal RNA (468 nucleotides) under uncultured bacterium. RNAcentral describes it as "partial 16S ribosomal RNA". It matches the Rfam family "Bacterial small subunit ribosomal RNA", at positions 28 to 507 of the family's 1533-position model. The record is from RNAcentral.
GACGAACGCUGGCGGCGUGCUUAACACAUGCAAGUCGAACGGACAGGCCCUGCUUUUGUGGGGUGCUCGAGUGGCGAACGGGUGAGUAACACGUGAGUAACCUGCCCUUGACUUUGGGAUAACUUCAGGAAACUGGGGCUAAUACCGGAUAGGAGCUCCUGCUGCAUGGUGGGGGUUGGAAAGUUUCGGCGGUUGGGGAUGGACUCGCGGCUUAUCAGCUUGUUGGUGGGGUAGUGGCUUACCAAGGCUUUGACGGGUAGCCGGCCUGAGAGGGUGACCGGCCACAUUGGGACUGAGAUACGGCGCAGACUCCUACGGGAGGCAGCAGGGGGGAAUAUUGCACAAUGGGCGGAAGCCUGAUGCAGCAACGCCGCGUGCGGGAUGACGGCCUUCGGGUUGUAAACCGCUUUCGCCGGUGACGAAGCGUGAGUGACGGUAAUGGGUAAAGAAGCAACGGCUAACUACGUG